RNAcentral lists this long non-coding RNA (1703 nucleotides) under Felis catus (domestic cat). Its description in RNAcentral is "lncRNA (ENSFCAG00000041398.2)". Lineage: Eukaryota; Metazoa; Chordata; Mammalia; Carnivora; Felidae. The record is from RNAcentral.
CUUCCAUUGUUACAUACUUAAUGAUGCUUUAUUCUUGUUGCAUAAUUGAAGGAGAUUACAGUUUAAAAGUAAUAUUUAAAAAUGGAUUAUCUAAAUGUAUACUGCCUAUUAUGUUGGCUCAGUACAUUGUGUGUAUAGGUAGUAAAGCAUUUUAGGGAUUAAGUCGUAAUUAAUUUUUUAUCACUUUAAUUUCUUAUGUGACUUCUUAUGCUCCUUUGCCUGCAUAUUCUCUAACAGGAAUUUUCUGAAGAUACCUGAACAUUUUUAUCCAGCUGCUAAGAAAUAUCUCUUGGUACAACUCAUAUAGAACCAACCCAGAUGAGGACAUGGACAGAAAUGUCAGGAGUAUAACAUGGAAGGUGUUCCAGAUGUGGACAUUCUCAUUUCCUGUUCAAGAAAAGACAAUUUGAUAGGAAUGAAGAGGGCAUACUCUGUAACAGGUAUGGCAAACUUUUCCUGUAACAGGUCAGAUAGUAAAGGUUUGCCUUUUGAGCCAUGUGAUCUUUGUUGUUACUACUCAAGUUGGUAGCAAAGGCAAAGACAGUGUGUAAAAGAAUGAGUGGGCUGCAUUCCAGUAACCUUUAUUUAUGGGCACUGAAAUUUGAACUUCAUGUGAUUUUCACUUGGGAUGAAAUUCUUCUUCCUUUAGUGUUUUUCAACUAUUUAAAAAUCUAACAACCAUGCUUCAUUCACAGGCUGUUAAAAAGAUAACAAAACACAAGUGGGCAGACCAGAUUUGGCCUGUAGGCUAUAGUCUGCUGACUCCUAUUCUUCAAGACGAACACAUAAGAAGAGAUGAUGUCUUAGUUUCAGAACUCCCAGUGGCCAGAAGAAUCCCUAGAAAAUUCAGAUGCAGCCCUCAUGAAAAGAUAAGGAUGCUUGUCACUGGACUAUUCUUUACUGUGAAUUUGGCAGUGGAAUGCCAACUGAAAUGAAGCAGAUGGUUGGAGGAUUUAGAUGUAGCUAAUCCUUAUAUAUAUUUGCCUUACAUGCCUUUUUGAAUAUUCCUUCCAAGAAAGUAGUAAUGGCAAAGAUUUCCAGUUUUUAUCAAUUGUCAUCAAUGGAGCUACCCUUUCCUUGUGGAAAACCUUGGGAGAGAGUUUGAUUCCCAGAUAGCAUUGCACUCUUAAAUGAGAGAUGGGCCAUUAGUCAUGUAGGUGAUAGCUUCACAAAAUUGCGGGAAGUAUUAGUUUCCAAAUCUGCAGCUGACCUCAUCUCUAGAGGUGUGCUAAUGAAUCAGAUGAGGCCAGUGUUUUCUGGAAACUAGAGUAAAUAACUAAUGUUAAGUAAAUUACCUAAAUUACUAAAUGGGACAUUGGAUUCCUUGAAGAAUUAAAUUCACCUCAUGUGAAUGAGCGAUUUCUUUCAACAGGUAAUUUAUUUAAUAGUAAGCUCAGCCAGCAUAUGGUAAUACAGGUCACAUCCUAUUGAAGGAAAAGAAUUUGCAUUUUAAACGUCUUUCCAGUUUCUCAGCCAGUGGCUUGAUUCUUUCACACAUCUGAAUGCAAAAAACAGUAAACAAGUGCUCUGGUCAACUGCUUGUAGGUGGAUAAAAAAGUGGUAGUUCCCACAUAAUUGUUUCAUUCUUUUGGUAUUCUUUUGGUAGAAUGAAUUAUUCUGAAUGAUUGUAGAAAAUCUUUUUUUGUGUAUGAUUCAGUGCAAUCUUUAAUUUGAAAUAAAGAGUAAGAAAGCCAAUUGAUACA